GCCUGGGUGGCUAAGUUGGUUAAGCGUCUGACUUCGGCUCAGGUUCGUGGGUUCGAGCCCCGCGUUGGGCU
Hyaena hyaena (striped hyena) is the source of this 71-nucleotide non-coding RNA. The record is from the annotation of a RefSeq genome assembly. NCBI's taxonomy places the organism in Eukaryota, Metazoa, Chordata, Mammalia, Carnivora, Hyaenidae.